This 3167-nucleotide long non-coding RNA is filed under the name Bemisia tabaci. RNAcentral describes it as "lncRNA ENSSSA3NGG000668". The record is from RNAcentral. Lineage: Eukaryota; Metazoa; Arthropoda; Insecta; Hemiptera; Aleyrodidae.
CGCCCGCCGCGCGCUUCGCUCGGCCCGCUCGGAGCCACUCCUCACAUAGUACAGGCAACGUCGGCAACCGGCCGUUGCGCCUCGCCGCCGGCCCGCGCGAAGCGGCGGCCGCCGCGCCUCGUCUGCGGAAGCGCGGCGGCCCGCCUCGACACUUGGAGCAUUCACGCUAGUAGGGUUCGGUUCGGAUGAGUUGGGGGGACUGAGGACCGGCGGGCGGACCGCUCCACGGCCGAGGACGGUCGCGCUCGAGCCUCGCCGGGGCCUCGCCGGGUGGGUGGGUCCGAGGCGGCCGGCCCGCUUCGGCACUUAGGAAUUACGCGCGAAGACGACCGACGACCGGCGGGAGACGGUCACGCUCGAGCCCCUGGGGCGGGACUCGGCGGAUCCGGCGAUCCGUGCCGCUCGGGUCCCGGGGACCGGAGUCGGCGGCACGACCGCUGCCCGCGAAGGCUCGGGCGCCGGGCGGGAGAUAACUUCUGGCAGCGCGAAGGGUCCCGUCCAGACGACAGGACGGACCGUUCGGGCACGUAGUCGGAGCGUCCGGGCCGCCGCGAUUCCGCCGGCGCCGGGCGCCCGGUCCGACCCGGCGUGCGCCCGGCCCCCUUCGGGACUUGGACGAACGGCGUUGGGGGAAAGGCCGCGAUCCGACAUGCCGGGCGGCCCCCGUCGGGACUCCGGACCGGACUCGCGGCCCGAGCCGCGGGGAACAACAUCUGGCAGCGCGAAGGGUCCCGUCCGGACGACAGGACGGACCGUUCGGGCGUGUGGGGAGGGGAGGACCCUCGCCGCCCGCGCGGAGCGAGCGGCGAGGAGAGGAGAACAACGUCUGACCGCGCGGAGGGUCCUGUCUAGACGACAAGACGGACCGUCCGGGCGUGAGGUUGGUCUCAUCGGAUCGCGGAAACGAUGUCCGCUCUCGCGAAUUAAUACGCCUCUCCCGAGAACCAAGUCGUUUACGAAUGGUCCGGGCGUGCUGGUUGGUCUCAUCGGAUCGCGGAAACGAUGUCCGCUCUCGCGAAUUAAUACGCCUCCCCGGGACCAAGUCCGUUUACGAACUGGCAGUGCUGCUGCCUUGGCUUAUGCCUUAAUCGCGGCCGCCGCUAUCGGGCCCAGGGUUCCGCGCCCGGCCGCGGCAAGUGCGAGCUUGUGGCUUUAUCGCACCGCGGCCGUGCGGCGCGGCCCUAUCGUCCGCGUCGGCGAUACGGCUGCCCGGCGCGCGGGACGCCGCCGGCCGCCGAGACGAACCGGAGCGGCCGCGCCAGGGAUCCGGCCGCGCCCGGAAGCGCGAGCCGAUUCCGUUGCCUGUCCGGCAGAGGGGACGGUGACCGGGACCGCGCGGGCGCCCCGAGAGACGCCCGACGACCCCGGGGAACCCCCCGGGGGAACCGUCUGUUUCCUCGCCCGUACGGUUAGUACUGUCCUCGCUUUCCGCUUCGAAUAGGCGAACCCUCUCGGGGAACCGCGCCUCUGCGUUCCGAGACUCGGUACAGGGUCCCGCUUCAGACGUGUCAGGUGGGCCCUCCGGACGUAGUCGUGCACCACGUCCGAUCGGGCGGUGCGGUCCAGAGGUCCGGCACCGUUCCUCUCGUACUCGUGUGCCAUACCGUCGCGAGACGACGUCAUCAGUAGGGUAAAACUAACUGUCCACGACGGUCUAACCCAGCUCACGUUCCCUGUCGGUCGGUGACAAUCGCACGCUCGGGGCGUUGUCCGACGUAUGAUAGGAAGAGCCGCAUGAAGGAUCAAAAAGCGACGUCGCUAUGAACGCUGGCCGCCACAAGCCGUUCCCUGUGUAACUUUUCUGACACCUCUCGCCGGAACCUCUCGGCGGAGAGGAUCGACUGGCCGCGCGCUUGCGGUACCCGCGCUUACUGAACGUCGGUAUCAAGCCGGCUUUUGCCCAUUUGCUCGACUCGAGGUUUCCGUCCUCGGUGAGCCGGCCUUAGGACACCUGCGUUAUCCUUGACAGAUGUACCGCCCCAGUCAAACUCCCCGCCUGGCGCUGUCCUCGGCCCGGAUCGCGGCUUAGGGCCGCCGACCCCGACGGGGCGGGACCGAUCGCCCGAAGGCUCACGGCCGCCGACACCCGCGAACCGGGGGGCGACCGCUUCAGCGCCGCUUGACGCCAAUAGGAAACAGACGCUCGAUUUUGAUCACCGGCGCCCCGCCGCGGACGCGAAGUCACAACGGACGGGUGCGGACACGGUGCGAGCGCGUACCGCUUCACCGAGUAAGUGCGGAGGCUAUGGGAGUAGUGGUAUUUCAUCGUUGACCCCGCGAACGGACCGCGGUUAGCGGCCGCGUUCGUGAUCGGGACCUCCCACUUAUGCUACGCCUCGCAUGUCUCCGUACAGCACCGGACUAGAGUCAAGCUCAACAGGGUCUUCUUUCCCGCUGAUAGUGUCCCAAGCCCGUUCCCUUGGCUGGGUUUUUUUUUUUUUUUUUUUUAUUAUUUUUUUUUUUUUUUUUUUGACGCAUGCCGAGGCGUUUAGCAACCCGAAAAUAGCCAAAGUCACUCCUGCCGUUCACCCGCGGAGACUUAAAAAAAAUAAAAAAUGAAAAAAAAAAAAAAAAAAAAAAAAAAAAAAUCCUUGGUUAGGAGAUGGGGACAGAGGGAAUCUCGUCGAUCCGUUCGUGCGCGUCGCUAAUCGCAUGCCGAGGCGUUUAGCAACCCGAAAAUAGCCAAAGUUACUCCUGCGUUCACCCGCGGUGACUUAAAAAAAAUAAAAAAUGAAAAAAAAAAAAAAAAAAAAAAAAAAAAAAAAAAAAAAAAAAAAACAACGUCCGGCAUGGGUUGGAGAGAAAAAAAAUGAAAAGGGGGGGAAAAAAAAAAAAAAAAAAACAACGUUCCGGGGGUGCCAGAAGAGAACGGGUUAAGCCCUCAAGAGGAGAUGACGGGGAGCGAAGAGCACGGACAUAAGCGAGUGCCCGGGUCGCCGUCCGAGGGACGGGCCCUUGCCGGCGGUGGCGGGGUGGCCGCGGCUUCCCCGUCGGCCCGCCUCGGCACUUAGGAAAAUGAUGCGCGACAGCCGCCGGAGAGACGGUCGCGCUCGAGCCCCGCCGGGGCCGCGCCGGGUGGGAGGGGUCGUGGUCGUCGACCCGCUUCGGCACUUAGCAGAAUAACGCGCGGCGGCCGCCGGAGCGACGACGACCGAGGACCGGCGCGC